ACGGGUGAGUAAUAUAUCGGAACGUGCCCAGUUGUGGGGGAUAACUGCUCGAAAGAGCAGCUAAUACCGCAUACGACCUGAGGGUGAAAGCGGGGGAUCGCAAGACCUCGCGCAAUUGGAGCGGCCGAUAUCAGAUUAGGUAGUUGGUGGGGUAAAGGCCUACCAAGCCUACGAUCUGUAGCUGGUCUGAGAGGACGACCAGCCACACUGGGACUGAGACACGGCCCAGACUCCUACGGGAGGCAGCAGUGGGGAAUUUUGGACAAUGGGGGCAACCCUGAUCCAGCCAUGCCGCGUGCGGGAAGAAGGCCUUCGGGUUGUAAACCGCUUUUGUCAGGGAAGAAAAGACUCCUACUAAUACUGGGGGUUCAUGACGGUACCUGAAGAAUAAGCACCGGCUAACUACGUGCCAGCAGCCGCGGUAAUACGUAGGGUGCAAGCGUUAAUCGGAAUUACUGGGCGUAAAGCGUGCGCAGGCGGUUAUGCAAGACAGAUGUGAAAUCCCCGGGCUCAACCUGGGAACUGCAUUUGUGACUGCAUGGCUAGAGUACGGUAGAGGGGGAUGGAAUUCCGCGUGUAGCAGU
This 584-nucleotide ribosomal RNA is filed under the name Burkholderiales bacterium RDB-136. Its description in RNAcentral is "bacterial SSU rRNA". It matches the Rfam family "Bacterial small subunit ribosomal RNA", at positions 102 to 682 of the family's 1533-position model. The record is from RNAcentral. Lineage: Bacteria; Pseudomonadati; Pseudomonadota; Betaproteobacteria; Burkholderiales.